UGGUUAAUUCGAAGCAACGCGAAGGAACCUUACCAGGUACUUGACAUCCCGAUGCUAUUCGUAGUAGAUAGAAGUUACUUGGUACCAUCGGCGACAGGUGGUGGCAUGGUUGUCGUCAGCUCGUGUCGUGAGAUGUUGGGUUAAGUCCCGCAACGAGCGCAACCCCUAUUCGUUAGUUGCCAUCAUUCAGUUGGGCACUCUAGCGAGACUGCCGGUAAUAAACCGGAGGAAGGUGGGGAUGACGUCAAAUCAUCCUGCCCCUUAUGACCUGGGCUACACACGUGCUACAAUGGUUGGUACAACGAGUUGCGAGUCGGUGACGGCGAGCUAAUCUCUUAAAAGCCAAUCUCAGUUCGGAUUGUAGGCUGCAACUCGCCUACAUGAAGUCGGAAUCGCUAGUAAUCGCGGAUCAGCACGCCGCGGUGAAUACGUUCCCGGGCCUU
RNAcentral lists this ribosomal RNA (443 nucleotides) under uncultured Streptococcus sp. RNAcentral's name for it is "bacterial SSU rRNA". It matches the Rfam family "Bacterial small subunit ribosomal RNA", at positions 942 to 1382 of the family's 1533-position model. The record is from RNAcentral. Lineage: Bacteria; Bacillati; Bacillota; Bacilli; Lactobacillales; Streptococcaceae.